RNAcentral lists this ribosomal RNA (502 nucleotides) under uncultured bacterium. Its description in RNAcentral is "partial 16S ribosomal RNA". It matches the Rfam family "Bacterial small subunit ribosomal RNA", at positions 30 to 523 of the family's 1533-position model. The record is from RNAcentral.
AUUGAACGCUGGCGGCAGGCUUAACACAUGCAAGUCGAGCGGAGUGAUGGUGCUUGCACUAUCACUUAGCGGCGGACGGGUGAGUAAUGCUUAGGAAUCUGCCUAUUAGUGGGGGACAACAUCUCGAAAGGGAUGCUAAUACCGCAUACGUCCUACGGGAGAAAGCAGGGGAUCACUUGUGACCUUGCGCUAAUAGAUGAGCCUAAGUCGGAUUAGCUAGGUGGUGGGGUAAAGGCCUACCAAGGCGACGAUCUGUAGCAGGUCUGAGAGGAUGAUCCGCCACACUGGGACUGAGACACGGCCCAGACUCCUACGGGAGGCAGCAGUGGGAAUACUGGACAAUGGGGGGAACCCUGACCCAGCCAUGCCGCGUGUGUGAAGAAGGCCUUAUGGUUGUAAAGCACUUUAAGCGAGGAGGAGGCUCUUUUGGUUAAUACCCAAGAUGAGUGGACGUUACUCGCAGAAUAAGCACCGGCUAACUCUGUGCCAGCAGCCGCGGUAA